RNAcentral lists this ribosomal RNA (2649 nucleotides) under Triticum aestivum (bread wheat). RNAcentral describes it as "partial small subunit ribosomal RNA". Lineage: Eukaryota; Viridiplantae; Streptophyta; Magnoliopsida; Poales; Poaceae. The record is from RNAcentral.
AAAGAGGCAUUAUUUUCAUUCGAGGACGUGCCUUCCUCUUUGCCUCCUGCUGUCACUAACAUUUUGCAGGAGUUCGCUGACGUUUUUCCACAAGACGUGCCACCGGGAUUACCGCCUAUUCGAGGGAUUGAGCAUCAGAUCAACUUAAUUCCCGGUGCUUCACUGCCAAACCGUGCACCAUACCGUACCAAUCCAGAGGAGACGAAGGAGAUUAUGCGUCAAGUACAAGAGCUUCUCGACAAAGGUUAUAUACGCGAAUCCCUUAGUCCUUGUGCUGUUCCUAUUAUUCUAGUGCCGAAAAAGGAUGGAACAUCACGUAUGUGUGUUGAUUGUAGAGGCAUUAAUAAUAUUACUAUUCGUUAUCGUCAUCCUAUUCCUAGGCUAGAUGAUAUGCUUGAUGAAUUGAGUGGCUCUACAGUAUUCUCCAAAGUUGAUUUGCGUAGUGGCUACCAUCAAAUUCGAAUGAAAUUGGGAGAUGAAUGGAAAACAGCAUUUAAAACUAAGUUUGGAUUAUAUGAGUGGUUAGUCAUGCCUUUUGGGUUAACUAAUGCACCUAGUACUUUCAUGAGAUUAAUGAACGAAGUUUUACGUGCUUUCAUUGGACGAUUUGUGGUAGUUUACUUUGAUGACAUAUUGAUUUAUAGCAGAUCUUUGGAGGAACAUUUGGAACAUUUACGUGCUGUUUUUAUUGCUCUACGUGAUGCACGUUUGUUUGGUAACCUUGGGAAGUGCACCUUUUGCACCGACCGAGUAUCUUUUCUUGGCUAUGUUGUUACUCCACAGGGAAUUGAAGUUGAUAAAGCCAAGAUUGAAGCUAUUGAGAGUUGGCCGCAGCCCAAAACGGUCACACAAGUGAGGAGUUUUCUUGGCCUCGCUGGAUUCUAUAGGCGUUUUGUGAGAGAUUUCAGCACCAUUGCUGCACCUCUCAAUGAGCUUACAAAGAAAAAUGUGCCUUUUCUUUGGGGUACCGCACAGGAAGAAGCCUUCACGGUAUUGAAAGAUAAGUUGACACAUGCUCCUUUACUCCAACUUCCUGAUUUUAAUAAGACUUUUGAGCUUGAAUGUGAUGCUAGUGGAAUUGGAUUAGGGGGUGUGUUAUUACAAGAUGGCAAACCUGUUGCAUACUUUUCUGAAAAAUUGAGUGGGCCUAGUCUGAAUUAUUCUACUUAUGAUAAAGAAUUAUAUGCUCUUGUUCGGACUUUAGAAACAUGGCAACAUUAUUUAUGGCCCAAAGAAUUUGUUAUACAUUCUGAUCAUGAAUCAUUGAAACAUAUUAAAAGUCAAGCUAAACUGAAUCGUAGACAUGCUAAAUGGGUUGAAUUCAUUGAGACUUUCCCUUAUGUCAUUAAACACAAGAAGGGAAAAGAAAAUGUUAUUGCUGAUGCUUUGUCUCGUCGCUAUACUAUGCUUUCACAACUUGACUUUAAAAUAUUUGGUUUGGAGACCAUCAAAGAUCAAUAUGUGCAUGAUGCUGAUUUUAAAGAUGUAAUGCAUAAUUGUAAAGAAGGAAGAAUGUGGAACAAGUUUGUUGUUAACGAUGGAUUUGUGUUUCGUGCUAACAAGCUAUGCAUUCCAGCUAGCUCCGUUCGUCUUUUGUUGUUACAGGAGGCGCAUGGAGGAGGAUUAAUGGGACACUUUGGCGUGAAGAAGACGGAGGACGUACUUGCUACACAUUUCUUUUGGCCAAAGAUGAGACGGGAUGUUGAGCGUUUUAUUGCUCGUUGCACUACAUGUCAAAAAGCUAAGUCACGCCUCAAUCCUCAUGGUUUAUAUAUGCCUUUGCCUGUACCUAGUGUUCCUUGGGAGGAUAUAUCUAUGGACUUUGUUUUAGGUUUACCUCGAACAAAGAAGGGGAGGGAUAGCAUAUUUGUUGUCGUGGAUAGAUUCUCGAAAAUGGCACACUUUAUACCAUGUCAUAAAAGCGAUGAUGCUAUUAAUGUUGCUGAUUUAUUCUUUCGUGAAAUUAUUCGCUUGCAUGGUGUGCCAAAUACUAUUGUUUCAGAUCGUGAUACUAAAUUUCUUAGCCACUUUUGGAGAUGUUUAUGGGCUAAGUUGGGGACUAAACUGCUUUUUAGUACUACUUGUCACCCCCAAACUGAUGGACAAACUGAAGUAGUCAAUAGAACGUUGUCUACUAUGCUUAGGGCUGUUUUGAAGAAUAAUAAGAAAAUGUGGGAGGAAUGCUUGCCUCAUAUUGAAUUUGCUUAUAAUCGUUCAUUGCAUUCUACUACUAAGAUGUGCCCUUUUGAAGUUGUGUAUGGUUUCCUACCUCGUGCACCUAUUGAUUUGUUGCCUCUUCCAUCUUCGGAGAAGGUUAAUUUUGAUGCUAAACAACGUGCUGAAUUGAUUUUAAAAAUGCAUGAGUUAACUAAGGAAAACAUUGAGCGUAUGAAUGCUAAAUAUAAACUUGCUGGAGAUAAGGGUAGAAAACAUGUUGUGUUUGCACCUGGAGAUCUUGUUUGGUUACAUUUGCGUAAGGAUAGAUUUCCUGAUUUGCGCAAAUCAAAGCUGAUGCCACAUGCUGAUGGUCCCUUUAAGGUGUUAGAGAAAAUAAAUGAUAAUGCAUAUAAACUUGAGCUGCCUGCAGAUUUUGGGGUUAGUCCCACUUUUAACAUUGCAGAUUUGAAGGCUUAUUUGGGUGAGGAAGAU